This is a long non-coding RNA of Cottoperca gobio, 1325 nucleotides long. RefSeq lists it as uncharacterized. Lineage: Eukaryota; Metazoa; Chordata; Actinopteri; Perciformes; Bovichtidae. The record is from RefSeq and is a predicted model, not a curated record. The transcript is spliced from 3 exons.
AAGAAGAAGAAGAAGAAGAAGAAGAAGAAGAAGAAGAAGAGAUCAAUAGAUCUCACUCCCUAGAGGGCGCUGUCAAAAAAUGUUGGUACUGACAUUUUCAGAAUUGGGGUAGAGGUCACUUGACAUUAAGACAGGUGCGGCUCAGAGUCUGUCUCCAGGGUGUGUUGCUUAGAAAAAAAGGCCAGGCCGGAAGUGACAGCCUCAUGAACAUGCAAAGGAGGACAUUUGUUUUGUUGGGUAAACAAAUCUGAGGCAUGAAGGUGGUUCAGAGAACUAUGCAAGGACAACAGAGGUCGCCCGACUGAGCAGAGCUUUCUCCGAAGAAGAAGAAGAAGACGUGAGGAGCAUAACUUUGAAACUGACGGACAUUAAAUAGAAACACAUGCUCAUUCAUUCACCCACACGCUCAUUCUGUCUGAGUGCAAUCACACAACUUCUCUCACUUACUCAUCUUUUCAGAGAACAGUCAGCACUUAUGGUUAAAGCCAUCUUUUGCAACCAGAAUGUCUGACGAAAAAAGCAACAAGCAAUCUGUCAUUGGGCUGUUCACUGUGUUAUGAAGCAAUGACACCAGACAGAUUAUUGAGACAUGCUGUAUCUCCACACCUACUGGCAUUCAUUCAUCCACAACAAGUUAAAGGAAUUCAUUAGUCGAUUAGCAGAAAAAUAAUCGCUUGAGUCACAGAAAUACCAAACGGUCACUAGCUCCAGCGAACAGCUUUUCUUUGUCUUAAGUGGUAAUAAACGACUAUAUUUAGGUUUUUGAGUGUUGUUAAGACAAAACAAACAAUUUAAUGGACAUUUUUCUCUUCGGUUUUUGACGAUUAAUUGACAAAAAAUUGGCACAUUACUAUAAUAAUAAUUAAUACAUUUUUAAUUCACUGGGAAUGGCUUUACAACACAUCAUUGUUUAUUGUAGGAGAAGGUUAGGUGGCAGUCGUUGGCAGUGAGAAGAGGAUGACACGGCAUUUUAUUUAUUUACAAAGCACUUCUUGGCAAAGUACCUGCAUUGGUAUCUUACAUGUCUUUUUAAUUAUAGAUCAUCUUCACACUGCACUAGGCCUGUUUGAUGUACAAUUUAGUGAUGUGUUUUGUAACUUUGAUGAGCUUCUAUUGUCGUUACUGUAAUGUAUUGUACUGUAAUCAGGGUCUCCUUGAAAAAUAAAGCUUGCUCUUCAUGGCUUCCCCUAAAGAAAGGUUAUAAUAAUUGCAUUCCUAAUUUGUUGUUACAUGAUGGAGUACGACUUUACCUGACCUCUGAUGCUCCCUCGUUUGUUGUUCAAAAGUUAUUUAUAGGCUAUUAAAUAGACUUUUGUAUUCCGCAC